GCCGAGACGCGUCCAGAGCAUUUGUGACCGGGGACUAUUCUGAAGCAGGCCUUGUGGAUGAUAUAUCUGAUUUGUCAGCCGCUGAGAUGCUGACACUUCAAAAUUGGCUUUCAUUCUAUGAGAAGAAUUAUGUAUGUGUUGCCCCCACCUCUCACUGGAGUCCUACUUGGACAUGACUGACUUCCUGAGGAACACCAGUGUCACUUCACCAUCGAAACAGGAAGGGUGAUAGGACGGUUCUACGGAGAGGAUGGGCUGCCUACCCCGGCACUGACCCGGGUAGAAGCUGUGAUCACCGGAGGCUUGGAGUCCAACAAACUAGAACUGCAAGAGAAGCAGACAUUCCCGCCGUGCAACGCGGAAUGGAGCUCAGCCAGGGGCAGCCGGCUCUGGUGCUCCCAGAAGAGUGGAGGUGUGAGCAGAGACUGGAUUGGCGUCCCCAGGAAGCUGUAUAAGCCAGGUGCUAAGGAGCCCCGCUGCGUGUGUGUGAGAACCACCGGCCCCCCUAGUGACCAGAUGCCCGACAACCCUCCACACAGAAAUCGUGGGGACCUGGACCACCCAAACCUGGCGGAGUACACAGGCUGCCCACCGCUAGCCAUCACAUGCUCCUUCCCACUCUAAGCCAUAGCCUUUUCUGUUGAUAACACACAGAGAGCUCUGCCAAGCACCUGAGUAGGCCCUUGACACUUGUGUGCCCUGGGAUGCCCCCUGGGGCGAAUCAGGAGGGUCUGGAAGGACUCUGGCUGUAUUCUGCAAAUGUGGCUCAUGCCCCUUACCGUGGCUUGGCGUUGUGGUGCCUGAGGGACAGCCGGCCACCUGCCCAGUACUGGUCAGCUUUUCACCACUAUUCCCUUUGACCUACCGGCCAUCUUCCUCACAGCCCUCAGAUAUCAACAGGCACAAAUAAGACCAACUCAAUUUCCACUUGAAUUUACAACCAAAAGCCUGCUGGGUUGAUUACAGCUGGGCCAAUACAGUAAGAGGCAAUAACAAA
This 997-nucleotide small RNA is filed under the name Pongo abelii (Sumatran orangutan). RNAcentral describes it as "processed transcript". The record is from RNAcentral. Lineage: Eukaryota; Metazoa; Chordata; Mammalia; Primates; Hominidae.